This 780-nucleotide long non-coding RNA is filed under the name Manacus vitellinus (golden-collared manakin). RNAcentral's name for it is "lncRNA (ENSMVIG00005016903.1)". Lineage: Eukaryota; Metazoa; Chordata; Aves; Passeriformes; Pipridae. The record is from RNAcentral.
UGACCGUUGUAUAUAGAUAGUGUGUUACAGUGCUAUGGGCAUACCUGGACUCUGUACUGUCUAGGGCACUUGCACAACACCCCAUAACUCUCCUGCAGUGUCCGUGCAACGCUCUCAGUCAGGCACCAAGGGCCUCAGCUUGCGGUGCAGUUCGUAGCGUGCUCGUCGCAGAGGAGUCCUCGGACUGAGGAUUUCUCAGCGGAGAGCUUGUGAACGGGCGUCCAAGAAGAGUUUCCGGAUCGAGGAGCUCUCAGUGGAGAUCCUGCAAACUAGAGAGCGGUUUUCUUUUCCCUCCCCCAAGGGGCUGUGCCCCUUGGACUGCAGCACAGCUUUGCUAAAGUGUUUUGGCAAAUCUGUGCUGCAGUUCAUGAGUUUGUGCUCCUUUCAUCAAAUUUUUAUUUUUCUCCAGACAGGCCCUGCCAGGUGAUGGAUUUCCCGAGAGACGGAAUCACCAGUGGAUAUGGAGGUGGACAGAGAGCAACCCGUCCUUCUCCUAAGGACGUGCCACCCAAGCUGGAGACUCCCAGAAAUCCGCCUCCUGUGUUCCGUUCCUUCCUGCAGUCCUGCCUGUACGGGAAUGUGAGGCCCCGAUGGCCUACCAGGCUGCUUCUGCAGGUACAGUGGCUGCAGGUGAAACAGCUGUCCAGGGAUGGGCUUUGUCAUCAGCUAAACUCAGAGGCAUCAGGAAGCCUCCUCUCCUACUAAUCCCCAGUCUUGGUGCUUUUCAAAUGACAACUAAGUAGCAUCCUAGAAUAGUUUAGCUUGGAAGGGUCCUUUAGG